UACGUAGGGUGCGAGCGUUAAUCGGAAUUACUGGGCGUAAAGCGUGCGCAGGCGGUUUUGUAAGCCAGAUGUGAAAGCCCCGGGCUUAACCUGGGAAUGGCAUUUGGGACUGCAAGGCUUGAGGGCGGCAGAGGAGACUGGAAUUCCUGGUGUAGCAGUGAAAUGCGUAGAUAUCAGGAGGAAUACCGAUGGCGAAGGCAGGUCUCUGGGCUGACACUGACGCUCAUGCACGAAAGCGUGGGGAGCAAACAGG
Molecule: ribosomal RNA, 253 nt
Filed under: uncultured bacterium
Lineage: Bacteria
Description: partial 16S ribosomal RNA
Rfam family: Bacterial small subunit ribosomal RNA
Source: RNAcentral